CCUGCUUGAGCUCUUCCACUAAGUAGCUACCCGCCAUGCACUUUGGAGAAGCUUUGAGGUCAUAUGAAACAUCUACAAACAACACGAAAAGACUAAUUUGAGACAGGGCCAUGCCGAUUUGCCCUUCGGGUUCUGUACGCUUUUACUGAAUCAAUAUCCAUAUACCAUAGGCUUUCAAUGAAUGAACAUAUAUAGUGCUAAUUACUAACUACCAAAAUAUUUAUAGAUUGGGCUCUAUCAGGCAACCUUGUUAUUGUUUUCCAGCAUUUGUGCGUCCGGAUAAACAAUUCCGUACGACACUUUAGAAGCAAAGCAG
Molecule: small RNA, 316 nt
Filed under: Histoplasma ohiense
Lineage: Eukaryota; Fungi; Ascomycota; Eurotiomycetes; Onygenales; Ajellomycetaceae
Description: hypothetical lncRNA
Source: RNAcentral